UACCUGUAAUGGGUCUUCAUCAGAAGGUUUUCCGUCAUCCCCAUACACCUCCCUGUCGCCACCUCAGCAGGAGCCCAGUUCGAGUCUCGUGGUGUCCACUUUUCACUCACUCGGGUAACCAGUGAUGCUGGAUGGACCUAAGCAAUGAAUGCAAUCUUGACGAGGGAAGAAAUUCUGCAGUCGGGCAUUCACCACGGGACGGCGGCGCUGGAUUACUCCCGUUGCGGUUGGGGGGCGUGUGGCGGGCUGGGAUAUCAACUGGUAUU
This 266-nucleotide signal recognition particle RNA is filed under the name Pyrenochaeta sp. DS3sAY3a. RNAcentral describes it as "Fungal signal recognition particle RNA". It matches the Rfam family "Fungal signal recognition particle RNA". Lineage: Eukaryota; Fungi; Ascomycota; Dothideomycetes; Pleosporales; Cucurbitariaceae. The record is from Rfam by way of RNAcentral.